AGCAUAUUCAACAAAUAUAUAUUAAUAUAAAGCACUCAUACCUUAUUGUCCUAUAUUGACUGCAAUUAAAUUAUAAUUACAUAGUGCUUAUAUUGCGCCUUAACGAGAUAACAAUUUUCUUAACAUUAAUAUAAUUAAUAAGAGUUAAAAAGUCAAUUUUUAUAAUAUAAAGUAAAUUUGUAAAAAUUUAAAAAGUAAUUUUUUUUUACAAUUAUUCCUAAAUUUUUUAAUAUUACUUCCUUCACUUCCCUUCU
Molecule: unclassified non-coding RNA, 254 nt
Filed under: Hevea brasiliensis (rubber tree)
Lineage: Eukaryota; Viridiplantae; Streptophyta; Magnoliopsida; Malpighiales; Euphorbiaceae
Source: RNAcentral